Molecule: transfer RNA, 72 nt
Filed under: Salmo salar (Atlantic salmon)
Lineage: Eukaryota; Metazoa; Chordata; Actinopteri; Salmoniformes; Salmonidae
Rfam family: tRNA
About the family: Transfer RNA (tRNA) molecules are approximately 80 nucleotides in length. Their secondary structure includes four short double-helical elements and three loops (D, anti-codon, and T loops).
Source: Rfam by way of RNAcentral
UCCUGUGUGGCUCAGUUGGUAGAGCAUGGUGUUUGCAACGCCAGGGUUGUGGGGUCGAUUCCCUCGGGGGAC